CGCAGGUUGGAGCAGUUGGUAGCUCGCUAGGUUCUUAUCCUAGAGGUCAUUGGUUCGAAUCCAAUACUUGCAA
This 73-nucleotide transfer RNA is filed under the name Caudoviricetes sp. RNAcentral's name for it is "tRNA-Lys". It matches the Rfam family "tRNA". From Rfam's summary of the family: Transfer RNA (tRNA) molecules are approximately 80 nucleotides in length. Their secondary structure includes four short double-helical elements and three loops (D, anti-codon, and T loops). Lineage: Duplodnaviria; Heunggongvirae; Uroviricota; Caudoviricetes. The record is from RNAcentral.